This 77-nucleotide ribosomal RNA is filed under the name Corallococcus sp. AB038B. RNAcentral describes it as "partial 16S ribosomal RNA". The stretch from base 1 to 69 matches the Rfam family "Bacterial small subunit ribosomal RNA", at positions 1465 to 1533 of the family's 1533-position model. The record is from RNAcentral. Lineage: Bacteria; Pseudomonadati; Myxococcota; Myxococcia; Myxococcales; Myxococcaceae.
UGCUCGGUAACUGGGGUGAAGUCGUAACAAGGUAGCCGUAGGGGAACCUGCGGCUGGAUCACCUCCUUUCUAAGGAG